UGGCCCUGGUGGUGGAUUGGCAGCUGAGU
This 29-nucleotide non-coding RNA is filed under the name Mus musculus (house mouse). Lineage: Eukaryota; Metazoa; Chordata; Mammalia; Rodentia; Muridae. The record is from RNAcentral.